GAAAUAUUUUCUUCUUCCGGUUC
RNAcentral lists this non-coding RNA (23 nucleotides) under Arabidopsis thaliana (thale cress). The record is from RNAcentral. Lineage: Eukaryota; Viridiplantae; Streptophyta; Magnoliopsida; Brassicales; Brassicaceae.